GUCCUUUAGAAGAAGAAUUUAAGGUUUAACCUGCCCGUUGAGGAAUUAAAUGGCCGCAGUAUUUUAACUGUGCAAAGGUAGCAUAAUCAUUAGUUUUUUAAUUGAAAGCUUGUAUGAAUGGUUGGACGAGAUAUAGACUGUCUUUAAUUUAAUAAUAGAAUUUAAUUUUUAAGUUAAAAAGCUUAAAUUUUUAUAAAAGACGAGAAGACCCUAUAAAUCUUUAUAUUUUUUUGUUUAUAAUAUUUUUGGAUGGUUAAUUUUUUUAGAUAAAAAUUUAUUUUAUUGGGGUAAUAAAAAGAUUAAAAAAAUUCUUUUUAAUAUUAGCAUUGAUUAGUGUUUUUUGUGAUCCAUUAUUAAUGAUUAUAAGAUUAAGUUACUUUAGGGAUAACAGCGUAAUUUUUUUUGAGAGUUCUUAUCGAUAAAAAAGUUUGCGACCUCGAUGUUGGAUUAAAAUUUAUUUUAGGUGUAGAAGUUUAAAUAUUUAGUCUGUUCGACUAUUGAAAUUUUAGA
Molecule: ribosomal RNA, 510 nt
Filed under: Liodessus sp. UNM KBMLdsp755
Lineage: Eukaryota; Metazoa; Arthropoda; Insecta; Coleoptera; Dytiscidae
Description: partial 16S ribosomal RNA
Rfam family: Bacterial large subunit ribosomal RNA
Source: RNAcentral